Non-coding RNA from Macrolepiota fuliginosa MF-IS2, 90 nucleotides. The record is from the annotation of a GenBank genome assembly. NCBI's taxonomy places the organism in Eukaryota, Fungi, Basidiomycota, Agaricomycetes, Agaricales, Agaricaceae.
GGCUUCGUAGUCUAGAGGCACGAUACUUGCUUUGGGUUCAACAAAUAUCUCAAUAUGCAAGUGGCCCGGGUUCGAAUCCCGGCGAAGCCC